Molecule: ribosomal RNA, 515 nt
Filed under: uncultured bacterium
Lineage: Bacteria
Description: bacterial SSU rRNA
Rfam family: Bacterial small subunit ribosomal RNA
Source: RNAcentral
GACGAACGCUGGCGGCGUGCCUAACACAUGCAAGUCGAGCGGGGUUGAAGCGAGGGGUAACUCGGACUUCUACCUAGCGGCGGACGGGUGAGUAACGCGUGGGCAACCUGCCUCAAGGUUUGGGAUAACAGCUCGAAAGGGCUGCUAAUACCGGAUAUGCCUGUGGCCUCGCAUGGGGCUAUGAGCAAAGGGGGAAACCCGCCUUGAGAUGGGCCCGCGUCCCAUCAGCUAGUUGGUGAGGUGAAGGCUCACCAAGGCGACGACGGGUAGCCGGCCUGAGAGGGUGACCGGCCACACUGGGACUGAGACACGGUCCAGACUCCUACGGGAGGCAGCAGUGGGGAAUAUUGGACAAUGGGCGCAAGCCUGAUCCAGCGAUGCCGCGUGUGUGAAGAAGGCCUGGCGGGUUGUAAAGCUACUUUUGGCGAAGACGUAGGUUUUCUUAUUUUAAUAGAGUAAGGGGAUGACGGUAUUCGCUAAGAAAAGCAACCGGCUAACUCGUGUCGCCAGCACGG